UAAUGAGAAUUAAAGUAUUAGUAAUUUAUUUUUGUUACUAAAAUUAAAUUCAGUUUGUUUCUGCAUAAAUCUUUUUAGUAGUAAACUACUUUGGAAUGAAUUUUUUUGGGGGACAACAGCAGGAUUAGGGCCAUCUUCUAGAUGCCAUCAGGUAGGUGCGCUAGCGUAGUCGUUUGUUGUAGAAUUAUAUCCCUUUUCCCCCUUUUUAAAAAAUGUUUGUAAGACGCCUGAAAUUUGUAUAAGUUAGUUCUAUAAGUAGUUGAAUAAGAAUUGGUGAGACUUGGUAAAUAGAAGAGGCCUGAGAAGAUGGAAGAGGAUUGCUUUGAAAUAGAAGGAAAGGAGAUAGAAGAUGUUUGAGGAAAGAAGGAGGAUUUUGUUGGCUGCAACGGAAGUUUUUUGAAGGAAAUUUGGAGCAACUGUAUUAAGAUGUUAUUGGUAUCUUGGACAUCAAGUUUUAUUUAUUUAUGUAUUAUACAAGCAUAUCUAUUGGUGGAAAUGUAGAAUGGCAGCUGUUAUAACAACUUGGAUGAAUUAUUAGAAACACCAAAGAAGUUUUGACAUAAUUUAAACUGGGAAAAGGCUCACAAAUGACUAGUUUAUUCUACAGUAGAUACAGGACAUUAAACUGACUUCAACAUCGCAGAUAUCUCUCAAAAAUUAUAUCUGUUCGAGUGAUGUACUGGGCGUUAACAGUUGCUGUUACAUAUCUGCAAAUGAGUUAGAACUGUACAUAAGUUUGAUGAAUGCCGGAGGAAUUUUUUGAAUGGAAUGAUACUGAAAAUCUUACCCACAAAUGACUGAUUGGCCUUCAUUACCAUUGCGCUAUGAAAAUGUAAGCAAUACAAAUUGGUAAUUGGUAUUAAUGGACGUUUUGACUGCUGUUUCCAGUCCAAGUUCCAGUUUUAAUGGAAAAUUUUUAAUGGACACAGACUUCAACACCUGUUGCCUUUUAAUAAUGGUAUACAAUGGGACAAUUGCUGUUUGAAGUCAACAAGUAGUACUAGUUGCAAAUAAUAUAUUAUGGCGGACAUCAAAAAGCUUUAAAUGGAAUUAAACUUGCAGAAAAAGACUCAAAAAGACCUGUACUUAAUAGCUGUUAGAGUGGAUGC
Long non-coding RNA from Sitophilus oryzae (rice weevil), 1109 nucleotides. RefSeq lists it as uncharacterized. The transcript has 6 exons. The record is from RefSeq and is a predicted model, not a curated record. Lineage: Eukaryota; Metazoa; Arthropoda; Insecta; Coleoptera; Curculionidae.